Molecule: ribosomal RNA, 709 nt
Filed under: uncultured bacterium
Lineage: Bacteria
Description: bacterial SSU rRNA
Rfam family: Bacterial small subunit ribosomal RNA
Source: RNAcentral
GAUAUCACGCAGAACCCCGAUUGCGAAGGCAGCAUACCGGUGCACAACUGACGCUCAGGCACGAAAGCGUGGGUAUCGAACAGGAUUAGAUACCCUGGUAGUCCACGCAGUAAACGAUGAAUGCUACCUGUUUGGCCUGAUUGAAGGCUGAGCGGGACAGCGAAAGCGUUAAGCAUUCCACCUGGGGAGUACGCCGGCAACGGUGAAACUCAAAGGAAUUGACGGGGGCCCGCACAAGCGGAGGAACAUGUGGUUUAAUUCGAUGAUACGCGAGGAACCUUACCCGGGCUCAAACGCAUAAUGACGACAGUUGAAAGAUUGUUUCCCUUCGGGGCAUUAUGCGAGGUGCUGCAUGGUUGUCGUCAGCUCGUGCCGUGAGGUGUCGGCUUAAGUGCCAUAACGAGCGCAACCCCUAUCGACAGUUGCUAACGAGUCGAGUCGAGGACUCUGUCGAGACUGCCGGCGCAAGCUGUGAGGAAGGCGGGGAUGACGUCAAAUCAGCACGGCCCUUACGUCCGGGGCGACACACGUGUUACAAUGGCAGGGACAGCGGGAAGCCACCAAGCGAUUGGGCGCGGAACCCGAAACCCUGUCUCAGUUCGGAUUGGAGUCUGCAACUCGACUCCAUGAAGCUGGAUUCGCUAGUAAUCGCGCAUCAGCCAUGGCGCGGUGAAUACGUUCCCGGGCCUUGCACACACCGCCCGUCAAG